GGGAAGGUGGCUCAGUGGUAGAGUGCUUGCCUUGCAUGCAUGAGGCCCUGGGUUUGACUCCUUCCUC
Molecule: transfer RNA, 67 nt
Filed under: Dipodomys ordii (Ord's kangaroo rat)
Lineage: Eukaryota; Metazoa; Chordata; Mammalia; Rodentia; Heteromyidae
Rfam family: tRNA
About the family: Transfer RNA (tRNA) molecules are approximately 80 nucleotides in length. Their secondary structure includes four short double-helical elements and three loops (D, anti-codon, and T loops).
Source: Rfam by way of RNAcentral